RNAcentral lists this long non-coding RNA (1540 nucleotides) under Salvia miltiorrhiza (redroot sage). RNAcentral describes it as "long non-coding RNA (SMIL_LNC001638)". Lineage: Eukaryota; Viridiplantae; Streptophyta; Magnoliopsida; Lamiales; Lamiaceae. The record is from RNAcentral.
UGGCCCGUUCUUUUUCUCCUAUAGCUUUUAGGCUAAAUAAUCUCUCCACUCCUAUCCGAUUAUUUAUCCUAGAAUGAACAGUAGGAACUAUUAAACCAUUGAUUCUCAAUUUUGCCCUCAUUUUUCAAGAUCUGAAAAAUCAUUGUCGAUUCCCCAUUCAUUCUUUUCAAGAUCUGAAUGUCGAAUUGUUUUUCUCGAUACUUCUAGCAUAUUUCUGCACAAUUCUUCUGUUCCAACCGGCGAUUGUUCAACCGAGAUCGGAGCUCUCAGCUAUCGCGCUCGAUUCUCUGCUCCAGGACUACGCGUUUAGGGCUUUAGUCAGGCCGAAGACCUGUUAUCGACGGGUGUAGAAAUGCGGACAGAGUAACGACGUAAAUGUGGGAACCGAGGCAAGAGUUAGACUCUUUCUCCGUAAGACAAAAUUGCCCCGCACAGUACACACGGUUCGAUGGCAAAUGUCCCCAAGAUACAACGGUUUGAAUGAGUACGAGAGCUUGUACUAGGAACUCGGACUUCCGGUGAACUACAGAAUACUCGGGACUUGAGUAUGAACUAGAAGACAGAAUGAAUGAAUUAAUUAUCUGAAUUUUCGGUGUGUCUAAUCUCAUUCUGCAGGGAAGUAUUUAUAGGAGAAGGAAGGGUGCGAUGAAGAGGUGUCUGCCAGGGGGUGGCUGUUCGAGCCAGCCAGUGGUCCGAACCAUCGCACUGGUUCGGUCAAAGGGGUGCGAGCCAACCACCCACACCUCACCAGCCUGAUCCAACCGCUGCCACGUCAGCAACCUCAUCCACCCGGAUUCCUUAUCCGCCACGCGGUGCCACGUCACCGAGCCGCAUGUUCCACGUCACUGCCACGUCACACGAGCCACCGUUUAGUUUGUCAAAACUAAAGGCUCCUCAAAGCUCCUCGCGACGACGCGAACGAGCGAAGUGCGCCUACAAAGCGCCCAUUGCGACAAGUGCGACGUGCACGUGCUCGGCCUCGGACUCGGAAGGUGCUUCGCACCUUCCGAGUAGGAAUUUGAGUUUUAGCCUUAAAAGGCUAAGUCAAAACUCACUUGGGUGCACCAUAUGGUCCACCAUAGAGAAGCACACUUGAUUGUCCCUUUAUGGUGGAGAGCACUUUAUAAAUAGCUUUCUUAAUUUUCCUUGGAUGACACUCCACAUUUCCAUUUUCAAUGGCUAUCUUUUGGCAUUUAAUUACUCAUUCAAUUCUUAAUAGAUUUGAACAAGUAAAUAUACCAAAUUAAUCUACUCAAAAUGUAGAUUCCCAAAUAUGCCAUUUAAUUCCAUUAAUUACAAAGUAAUUAUGGAUUAAUUAAGCCAUUUAUUCCAACAGACCGGCAUUGUCUACGACGGCAAUGUGCCGUCCAACUUGACCGGCAUCGUCGUGGCGGCGCUGCGGCAGCCUGCGACGGAAGGGGGCGGCGUACAGGAGUUUCGCCUCCCAGUAGGAGUCACUGCGCAGCCCUAUGUUGAGCGGCUUGUGUUAGUCUACCACAAUUUGGGCAAUUGGUCUUCAUCAUACUGUUCUCUUCCCGGC